This 187-nucleotide ribosomal RNA is filed under the name uncultured rumen bacterium. RNAcentral's name for it is "partial 16S ribosomal RNA". It matches the Rfam family "Bacterial small subunit ribosomal RNA", at positions 340 to 524 of the family's 1533-position model. The record is from RNAcentral.
GACGGGAGGCAGCAGUGAGGAAUAUUGGUCAAUGGGCGCGAGCCUGAACCAGCCAAGUAGCGUGCAGGAUGACUGCCCUAUGGGUUGUAAACUGCUUUUAUCAGGGAAUAAAGUGAGGCACGUGUGCCUUUUUGUAUGUACCUGAUGAAUAAGGACCGGCUAAUUCCGUGCCAGCAGCCGCGGUAAU